CAUGUUGCCGGUGGAGGGUCUUGACUACAAGUUGUCCAGGUUUUGGCAUCUUGAACAAUGAAUUGGACAAAACGCACAAACAAAGCAGCGAAAGAAUGAAGCAAUGAAAGCAGAUUUAUUGAAACGAAAGUACACUCCACUUAAGAGCACUCACUGAUGACAGAAUUUUCUCGAGUUUAAAUACCCACUACAGGUUUCCCAUUGGUUAUUUGGUUACACUCUACAUAAAUGAAGACGUGGCUCACUACCAGUCUGGUUGCAGGAGGUGACCAUCAGAGGCUGAACUGAACUUACAAAGUUAGACAUGAAGACUUGGGCCACCACUCAUCUGAUUGGUUGCAGGAGGGGACCAAUCGGAGAUUACCAACAGUAUUUUGGGAUGCAGCCAUUGAGUGAACUGGAAGCUUCCACCCUGCCUACAGAUUUGAAGUUGUAAAAUGCCUCUUCUGCCUGCCUGAAGCACAGUCACAGAAAUUCCACUCUACAACCGCUGAGACAGCAAGACCAACCCUUCCUCUGCCUCCUCCUCCUUAGCCUAUUCAACAUGAAGACAACAAGGAUAAAGACCUUUAUGAUGAUCCACUUCCACUCAAUGAAUAAUUUCAUCAGUAGGAAAAGAAGAGGAGGAGCUGUGAUAGUGUGUGCUUCCAUCAACCCUCCCACAGCAUCUUUUUAAUAAUAUCUGAGACUAAGAAAAAGAUCUCACUCUGACGUCACCUUGGAGCCCUAGGGAUAAAACAUGAAGAAGUAAGCUCUGCAUUCACAAAAGAAAAAAAGCAAUUUUAUAAUGUAAGUUAAUAAAUAGAACACU
This is a non-coding RNA of Callithrix jacchus (white-tufted-ear marmoset), 811 nucleotides long. Lineage: Eukaryota; Metazoa; Chordata; Mammalia; Primates; Cebidae. The record is from RefSeq and is a predicted model, not a curated record.